CAGAAUCAACCUACUGAUAAAGCUCCGAGGACUAAUUACCAUUCUAGAACCAAAUGCAUUCUUCUCAUCCUCGAACUUGGGAUCCAAUGGUGAAAUCAGCCUGGUCUAAUGGAGAAAGCAUUCUAGCCAAAUCAAAUGGAGGAGACAGGAGGUGGAUCAAAAAAGAUCUUGCUGGGCUUCCCUGGUGGCGCAGUGGUUGAGAGUCUGCCUGCCAAUGCAGGGGACACGGGUUCGGGCCCUGGUCUGGGAAGAUCCCACAUGCCGCGGAGCGGCUGGGCCCGUGGGCCACAGUUGCUGAGCCUGCGCGUCUGGAGCCUGUGCUCCGCAACAAGAGAGGCCGCGAUAGUGAGAGGCCCGUGCACCGCGAUGAAGAGUGGCCCCUGCUUGCCGCAACUGGAGAAAGCCCUCGCACAGAAACGAAGA
This is a long non-coding RNA of Balaenoptera acutorostrata (minke whale), 423 nucleotides long. RefSeq lists it as uncharacterized. The transcript is spliced from 3 exons. Lineage: Eukaryota; Metazoa; Chordata; Mammalia; Artiodactyla; Balaenopteridae. The record is from RefSeq and is a predicted model, not a curated record.